UCAUAAAUGUGCCUCACCCC
This 20-nucleotide non-coding RNA is filed under the name Mus musculus (house mouse). Lineage: Eukaryota; Metazoa; Chordata; Mammalia; Rodentia; Muridae. The record is from RNAcentral.